RNAcentral lists this ribosomal RNA (896 nucleotides) under Flavobacterium sp. RNAcentral's name for it is "bacterial SSU rRNA". It matches the Rfam family "Bacterial small subunit ribosomal RNA", at positions 60 to 964 of the family's 1533-position model. Lineage: Bacteria; Pseudomonadati; Bacteroidota; Flavobacteriia; Flavobacteriales; Flavobacteriaceae. The record is from RNAcentral.
AGUCGAGGGGUAUAGUAGCAAUACUAGAGACCGGCGCACGGGUGCGUAACGCGUAUGCAAUCUACCUUUUACAGAGGGAUAGCCCAGAGAAAUUUGGAUUAAUACCUCAUAGCAUAGCAGCUUCGCAUGAAGCCACUAUUAAAGUCACAACGGUAAAAGAUGAGCAUGCGUCCCAUUAGCUAGUUGGUAAGGUAACGGCUUACCAAGGCAACGAUGGGUAGGGGUCCUGAGAGGGAGAUCCCCCACACUGGUACUGAGACACGGACCAGACUCCUACGGGAGGCAGCAGUGAGGAAUAUUGGACAAUGGGCGCAAGCCUGAUCCAGCCAUGCCGCGUGCAGGAUGACGGUCCUAUGGAUUGUAAACUGCUUUUGCACAGGAAGAAACAACAUUACGUGUAAUGUCUUGACGGUACUGUGAGAAUAAGGAUCGGCUAACUCCGUGCCAGCAGCCGCGGUAAUACGGAGGAUCCAAGCGUUAUCCGGAAUCAUUGGGUUUAAAGGGUCCGUAGGCGGUUUAGUAAGUCAGUGGUGAAAGCCCAUCGCUCAACGGUGGAACGGCCAUUGAUACUGCUAGACUUGAAUUAUUAGGAAGUAACUAGAAUAUGUAGUGUAGCGGUGAAAUGCUUAGAGAUUACAUGGAAUACCAAUUGCGAAGGCAGGUUACUACUAAUGGAUUGACGCUGAUGGACGAAAGCGUGGGUAGCGAACAGGAUUAGAUACCCUGGUAGUCCACGCCGUAAACGAUGGAUACUAGCUGUUGGGAGCAAUCUCAGUGGCUAAGCGAAAGUGAUAAGUAUCCCACCUGGGGAGUACGUUCGCAAGAAUGAAACUCAAAGGAAUUGACGGGGGCCCGCACAAGCGGUGGAGCAUGUGGUUUAAUUCGAUGAUACGCGA